This 975-nucleotide ribosomal RNA is filed under the name Escherichia coli. RNAcentral describes it as "partial 23S ribosomal RNA". It matches the Rfam family "Bacterial large subunit ribosomal RNA", at positions 932 to 1890 of the family's 2925-position model. The record is from RNAcentral. Lineage: Bacteria; Pseudomonadati; Pseudomonadota; Gammaproteobacteria; Enterobacterales; Enterobacteriaceae.
CGACUUACCAACCCGAUGCAAACUGCGAAUACCGGAGAAUGUUAUCACGGGAGACACACGGCGGGUGCUAACGUCCGUCGUGAAGAGGGAAACAACCCAGACCGCCAGCUAAGGUCCCAAAGUCAUGGUUAAGUGGGAAACGAUGUGGGAAGGCCCAGACAGCCAGGAUGUUGGCUUAGAAGCAGCCAUCAUUUAAAGAAAGCGUAAUAGCUCACUGGUCGAGUCGGCCUGCGCGGAAGAUGUAACGGGGCUAAACCAUGCACCGAAGCUGCGGCAGCGACGCUGAUGCGUUGUUGGGUAGGGGAGCGUUCUGUAAGCCUGCGAAGGUGUGCUGUGAGGCAUGCUGGAGGUAUCAGAAGUGCGAAUGCUGACAUAAGUAACGAUAAAGCGGGUGAAAAGCCCGCUCGCCGGAAGACCAAGGGUUCCUGUCCAACGUUAAUCGGGGCAGGGUGAGUCGACCCCUAAGGCGAGGCCGAAAGGCGUAGUCGAUGGGAAACAGGUUAAUAUUCCUGUACUUGGUGUUACUGCGAAGGGGGGACGGAGAAGGCUAUGUUGGCCGGGCGACGGUUGUCCCGGUUUAAGCGUGUAGGCUGGUUUUCCAGGCAAAUCCGGAAAAUCAAGGCUGAGGCGUGAUGACGAGGCACUACGGUGCUGAAGCAACAAAUGCCCUGCUUCCAGGAAAAGCCUCUAAGCAUCAGGUAACAUCAAAUCGUACCCCAAACCGACACAGGUGGUCAGGUAGAGAAUACCAAGGCGCUUGAGAGAACUCGGGUGAAGGAACUAGGCAAAAUGGUGCCGUAACUUCGGGAGAAGGCACGCUGAUAUGUAGGUGAAGCGACUUGCUCGUGGAGCUGAAAUCAGUCGAAGAUACCAGCUGGCUGCAACUGUUUAUUAAAAACACAGCACUGUGCAAACACGAAAGUGGACGUAUACGGUGUGACGCCUGCCCGGUGCCGGAAGGUUAAUUGAUGGGGU